GAUGAACGCUGGCGGCGUGCCUAAUACAUGCAAGUCGAGCGAACAGACGAGGAGCUUGCUCCUCUGACGUUAGCGGCGGACGGGUGAGUAACACGUGGAUAACCUACCUAUAAGACUGGGAUAACUUCGGGAAACCGGAGCUAAUACCGGAUAAUAUAUUGAACCGCAUGGUUCAAUAGUGAAAGACGGUUUUGCCGUCACUUAUAGAUGGAUCCGCGCCGCAUUAGCUAGUUGGUAAGGUAACGGCUUACCAAGGCAACGAUGCGUAGCCGACCUGAGAGGGUGAUCGGCCACACUGGAACUGAGACACGGUCCAGACUCCUACGGGAGGCAGCAGUAGGGAAUCUUCCGCAAUGGGCGAAAGCUUGACGGAGCAACGCCGCGUGAGUGAUGAAGGUCUUCGGAUCGUAAAACUCUGUUAUUAGGGAAGAACAAAUGUGUAAGUAACUAUGCACGUCUUGACGGUACCGAAUCAGAAAGCCACGGCUAACUACGUG
Molecule: ribosomal RNA, 497 nt
Filed under: uncultured bacterium
Lineage: Bacteria
Description: partial 16S ribosomal RNA
Rfam family: Bacterial small subunit ribosomal RNA
Source: RNAcentral